RNAcentral lists this non-coding RNA (598 nucleotides) under Ipomoea nil (Japanese morning glory). RNAcentral's name for it is "Eukaryotic small subunit ribosomal RNA". It matches the Rfam family "Eukaryotic small subunit ribosomal RNA", at positions 4 to 605 of the family's 1831-position model. Lineage: Eukaryota; Viridiplantae; Streptophyta; Magnoliopsida; Solanales; Convolvulaceae. The record is from Rfam by way of RNAcentral.
CUGGUUAUCCUGCGAGUAUCAUAUGCUUGUCUCAACAGAUUAAGCCAUGCAUGUGUAAGUAUGAACUAAUUCAGACCUGGAUGCAAACUGCCGAAUGGCCUCAUUAAAAUCAGUAUAGUUUGUUUGACGGUUACCUACUACUCGGAUACACCGUAGUAAUCUAAGUAAUACGUGCAACAAACCGACUUCUGGGAAGGGAUGCAUUUAUUAGAUAAAAGUCGACGCGGGCUUUGGCCCGUUGCUGCCGAUGAUCAUGAUAACUCGACGGAUCGCACGGCCUAGCGCCGGCACGAUCAUUCAAAUUUCUGCCUAUCAAACUUUCGAUGGUAGGAUAGUGGCCUACCAUGGGUGACGGGUGGACGGCAGAAUUAGGGUUCGAUUCCGAAGAGGAGCCCUGGAAACGCUACCACAUCCAAGAAGGCCAGCAGUAGCGCUGCAAAUACCCAAUCUGCACGGGGAGUGUGAAAUAAAUAAACCCAAUACCGGGCUCGAUCGAGUCUGGGUAAUUGAGAAUGAGACAAUCUAAUCCCUUACGAGGAUCAUUGGAGGAAGUCUGGUGCCAGCAGCGGUCGGAAUUCCAGCUCCAUAGCGAUAUAUU